Molecule: ribosomal RNA, 433 nt
Filed under: uncultured bacterium
Lineage: Bacteria
Description: partial 16S ribosomal RNA
Rfam family: Bacterial small subunit ribosomal RNA
Source: RNAcentral
AACGAACGCUGGCGGCAUGCCUAACACAUGCAAGUCGAACGAUGCCUUCGGGCAUAGUGGCGCACGGGUGCGUAACGCGUGGGAAUCUGCCUUUCGGUUCGGAAUAACUCAGGGAAACUUGAGCUAAUACCGGAUAACGUCGCAAGACCAAAGAUUUAUCACCGAAAGAUGAGCCCGCGUAGGUUUAGCUAGUUGGUGAGGUAAAGGCUCACCAAGGCGACGAUCCUUAGCUGGUCUGAGAGGAUGAUCAGCCACACUGGGACUGAGACACGGCCCAGACUCCUACGGGAGGCAGCAGUGGGGAAUAUUGGACAAUGGGCGAAAGCCUGAUCCAGCAAUGCCGCGUGAGUGAUGAAGGCCUUAGGGUUGUAAAGCUCUUUUACCCGGGAAGAUAAUGACGGUACCGGGAGAAUAAGCCCCGGCUAACUCCGUG